UACGGAGGGUGCGAGCGUUAAUCGGAAUUACUGGGCGUAAAGCGCGCGUAGGCGGUUUGGCAAGUCGGAUGUGAAAGCCCCGGGCUUAACCUGGGAAUUGCAUUCGAUACUGCUUGACUCGAGUCUAGGAGAGGGAAGCGGAAUUCCGGGUGUAGCGGUGAAAUGCGUAGAUAUCCGGAGGAACAUCAGUGGCGAAGGCGGCUUCCUGGCCUAAGACUGACGCUGAGGUGCGAAAGCGUGGGGAGCAAACAGG
This 253-nucleotide ribosomal RNA is filed under the name uncultured bacterium. RNAcentral describes it as "partial 16S ribosomal RNA". It matches the Rfam family "Bacterial small subunit ribosomal RNA", at positions 524 to 776 of the family's 1533-position model. The record is from RNAcentral.